AUGGCGCCAGACGAAUUGGAGAGGCGGCGACGGAGGAUGUGGCUAGUGCGGGCAAAAAGGAUUGACGACGUGGUAUUAUGCUGGAUGAAGUGCAUGCGGGAGUUGAUGGAGAAGGAGGCUAUCGCACGAGAUAACCCUGGCUUUCAGGUGGACGUAUCGAUGCACAAAAGGUGUGUGGAUAGAGGAUUGAGGACUGUAGCAGACAUCAUCUUCUCAGAGACCUCAAAUGAAGAGCGCUCUCGGAUGCCGACUCAGAGUAGACUGGAAUUGGUCCUCGAAUGGGCAUUGGAAGAGGUGAAAUCUCCAAUCAUGAUUCAGAGAGCCCGAUGGGGAUGUGUCGUGGGGAUAAUGCCACCGAGAGUUCCCCCACCACCACGGGACUCUACUCCACCUUCAGCAGUCACCUUUCCAUCCACUUGA
Molecule: ribosomal RNA, 420 nt
Filed under: Triticum aestivum (bread wheat)
Lineage: Eukaryota; Viridiplantae; Streptophyta; Magnoliopsida; Poales; Poaceae
Description: partial small subunit ribosomal RNA
Source: RNAcentral